GACGAACGCUGGCGGCGUGCUUAACACAUGCAAGUCGAACGGAAAGGCCCUGCUUUUGUGGGGUGCUCGAGUGGCGAACGGGUGAGUAACACGCGAGUAACAUGCCCUUGACAUUGGGAUAACUUCAGGAAAAUGGGGCUAAUACCGGAUAGGAGAUCCUGCUGCAUGGGGGGGGUUGGAAAGAUUCGGCGGUUGGGGAUGGACUCGCGGCUUAUCAGCUUGUUGGGGGGGUAGUGGCGUACCAAGGCUUUGAAGGGUAGCCGGCCUGGGAGCGUGGCCGGCCACAUUGCGCCUGCGAUACGGCCCAGUCUCCUACGGGAGGCAGCAGUGGGGAAUCUUGCACAGUGGGCGGAAGCCUGAUGCAGCAACGCCGCGUGCGUGAUGACGUCCUUCGGGUUGUAAACCGCUUUCGCCUGUGCCGAAGCGUGAGUGACGGUAAUGGGUAAAGAAGCACCGGCUAACUACGUG
This 468-nucleotide ribosomal RNA is filed under the name uncultured bacterium. RNAcentral's name for it is "partial 16S ribosomal RNA". It matches the Rfam family "Bacterial small subunit ribosomal RNA", at positions 28 to 507 of the family's 1533-position model. The record is from RNAcentral.